Molecule: non-coding RNA, 2102 nt
Organism: Oryza sativa Japonica Group (Japanese rice)
Lineage: Eukaryota; Viridiplantae; Streptophyta; Magnoliopsida; Poales; Poaceae
Source: RefSeq, a predicted model, not a curated record
CCAAAAUGCCAUCCCGAACAGAAAUGCCACUUCCUCUUCUUCCUCCAUCCUGCGCGUGAAGAGCUCGCCUGCGGCCAUGGCUAGCUCCCUCCCUGCCAUCGCCGCCGCACGGGCAGCGGAGCCCGCGGCGCAGUGGCGACUCUUCGGUUGACGGCGGCUGGCUACGCGGUGGCAACGAGGAGGCGGCGGCGGCCAGGAGCUGCUCCACCGGCCCCACGCGCACGCGCGCCGGCGGGAUCCGCGCGUCGUCGCCGGAGUCCUUCCGCGACGACCUCAGCUGCACAGGCGUUGGCGGGGAUGGCAGGGAGGGCAGCGCCCCGAUCGCCGUCGGCAAGGCGGCAUCGGCGCGGCGGUGGAGAUGGCCAUGGCCGCCGGCGAGCUCUUCACGCGCGGGACGGAGGAAGAAGAAGAGCCAGGGGCAUUUCCGUCUGGGAUGGCAUUUUGGCGAAGACACCUGGUUGAGGAUGAUAUGCAAUUUUCUCACUUUUACGGGGUGGGUGGGCUAAAAAGUGGAGCCACGCUGACACGCACGCGCCGUUCGCCGCCGGCAUCUUCCCGGCGAUCUGCUCCGGCUCCGGUGGGCACCUCCUCGACGGUACGCAGCCACUGCCCCCUCCGCGUAUUUCUUCCUAUUGGUUAUCUCCAGUUUUCCGGCGAGCGCACUCGCGCGCGCCGGAUACCUUGUGGACGAUCUGGAAACUCUGCACGCUGCCAGGAGGCUAGCGGAGUAGUGGAGGAGGGCGUGGUGAGGGUCGGGAGGCAGGGAUGGAGUUGGACGGGGAGACGAGGUGUAGCACCGGCGCUGAGGUUUGAUGGUACUUCUCCUGCAUCUACGACCCCGAGUUUGCUCAGUUGCUGUCUUGCGGGAACAGGCAGUUUCUCAUUCAUGGAUAAUCUGAGGAAGUCAGAUGGAUUGAUGUCUCAUGGCUGUGAAUUUUCAGUGUCUCUGGCGAUUUGCUGUUUUUCGUGUUCUUAUCAGAAUACAUGAGCUUAUCUCUGAAGAGAUUGCAAAGGGCAAUAUUAACCGUAUUCGAUUCCUUCUAUUUGCAGGUCCGAAAUCCAAAUUAAAGAACCACGAGUGCACAGAAGAUUGAAUCCCAUGAUUGAUUAUCUCAUUAUCAACUGUCGUCUUCUGAUCAUAUGUAUAUCUGCUAGCUGUGAUAUUGUUAGUCUCCAUGGUGUGUUUCCUAGUUGGCCUCGUAACAUCAGAAUCCCCCCAGUAUUAUCUACCUGAUUUAGUGGCCUCUCUGAUCGACAGAACUUAAUGUAAGCAGCGGCUAACUGAUAAAAUAUUUGCACAGGACAUAUGUGGAACUAAGUACGCGAUUCAUGGCAUGUUUAAUUUUUCUAGGAACUACCAUUGCUUUCAUCUACUCCAAUGCAUUGUUCUUGCAAAGGGAAUAUAGCCUUUUUUAGCUCACGAACAUGUGAGCACACAGCCACACAACACGGAGGAUGCAGAUGUUUAGGGAGGAGAAAAAGGCUACAGAUUCUUUCGUAAUCCACCCUGUCCUUUGUUCUUUUCCUGCCAUUCGGAAUUUAGUGGUGACCCAAUGACAAAGACCUUUCCAGUGUUUCCAAUUCCAAGGCUGCAAGUAUUACCGUGAAUCUUUCUGUGGAGCCUAUGAUGAUUAACCAUCUGGAAUUAAUGCAUACCACAUACCAGUCUUUCAAUGGUGAAAUUGAGCAAGGGAUCUGCUGCAAACUUUUGUGGCCAUGUGGGGUUUUACCUGAAAUUUCAGAUUGGCUUUGCCUUGUCAUCAGCUUCGUCAUUUUGUCGUUCAGGGGACUGUUUAAAUGAACUGCCAUUUGUGAGGUUUCUCCUGAAGGACCGGAUUGGAGGCCAACCGACUACUGGAGGAAUAGCACCUCUACAUCAAAUUAAAGCACUGGUAAAUGAUGGGUUUAUUCAUUUAUUUUUGGAAAAAUUGGGAGUCUGCGUAUGUAGGUGGCGUAAAUCAUAAACCCAUAAUUAAAAGAACACACUGUUCCACUGAUGGAAAGCAUAUCAUUACUUAACCAAUAAACAAUGGUUUGAGCCACAAUGAGUACUAGCCACAGAAAGUAACUACGUGGUUGAUUAAAAGACAACCUUUUGGCAA